Molecule: long non-coding RNA, 774 nt
Filed under: Struthio camelus australis
Lineage: Eukaryota; Metazoa; Chordata; Aves; Struthioniformes; Struthionidae
Description: lncRNA (ENSSCUG00000009262.1)
Source: RNAcentral
CACAGCAUUAAAAUGUUAAAAUCAAAAGGGUUUGGGCACUGAGGUUAAUUCAACUGCUAAACCUUUUGUUACCCCAUCCGCUGAAAUGUCAUUACUUGUACUUCCCAGAGCUCGGGGCACAGUAACCUGCAUGGUUUAGAAGGGAAAACUGAGGCACUGAAGCAACUGGCAGAGUGAGGCAGUGACUCGGUGGCAAAGCUGGAACUGAAACUUCCUGGGAGGACGAUGGCAAAAGCAGCCCAAGCCGUCGCAGUAGUGUCUCACGGCGAGCGAGCGGCUCGGUGGAGGAGCUCCUUACCGAGUCCUCCUGUCAGCCGGGCAUGUCGCCAGCAGUACGGGAGGGUCUGGCUGGUGCUUAUCUCUGCCUUGUUUCUUGUGGAGGCUGAACCUCUGCAGAAGUCUGAAGAUGAGAUUUUUAUAUUACUGGGCAGGAGCUGUGCUUUUUCUCAUUUGCAUAGUCUACGAUUAAGGCACGUGUCCAGCCUGCUGUUCCUUGGCCUUCCGAAGCUCUAACGUUUAAAAAUGGCAAUUUUUAGUCUACCGGAAAAAAAGUAGUGCUUUACAGUAACACUGGCUGAAACCAAAGAAGAAGACAGGCUAAUUGAAUUAACUCAAGGAGAGGCGCUCGCCAGCCUGCGGCGCUUUAGUGCAGAGAGACACGGUGCCAACCUGCCGGGCUAGAGCUGUGUCCUGGCAGAAACUUUCUCUUGAGUCCUCUGGCCACGGUUGCGUAGGUCCUAAAGACACGGUGAUACGGAGUGGUUGCAGUUCCCU